Molecule: ribosomal RNA, 2367 nt
Filed under: Escherichia coli
Lineage: Bacteria; Pseudomonadati; Pseudomonadota; Gammaproteobacteria; Enterobacterales; Enterobacteriaceae
Description: partial 23S ribosomal RNA
Rfam family: Bacterial large subunit ribosomal RNA
Source: RNAcentral
GAGCAGCCCAGAGCCUGAAUCAGUGUGUGUGUUAGUGGAAGCGUCUGGAAAGGCGCGCGAUACAGGGUGACAGCCCCGUACACAAAAAUGCACAUGCUGUGAGCUCGAUGAGUAGGGCGGGACACGUGGUAUCCUGUCUGAAUAUGGGGGGACCAUCCUCCAAGGCUAAAUACUCCUGACUGACCGAUAGUGAACCAGUACCGUGAGGGAAAGGCGAAAAGAACCCCGGCGAGGGGAGUGAAAAAGAACCUGAAACCGUGUACGUACAAGCAGUGGGAGCACGCUUAGGCGUGUGACUGCGUACCUUUUGUAUAAUGGGUCAGCGACUUAUAUUCUGUAGCAAGGUUAACCGAAUAGGGGAGCCGAAGGGAAACCGAGUCUUAACUGGGCGUUAAGUUGCAGGGUAUAGACCCGAAACCCGGUGAUCUAGCCAUGGGCAGGUUGAAGGUUGGGUAACACUAACUGGAGGACCGAACCGACUAAUGUUGAAAAAUUAGCGGAUGACUUGUGGCUGGGGGUGAAAGGCCAAUCAAACCGGGAGAUAGCUGGUUCUCCCCGAAAGCUAUUUAGGUAGCGCCUCGUGAAUUCAUCUCCGGGGGUAGAGCACUGUUUCGGCAAGGGGGUCAUCCCGACUUACCAACCCGAUGCAAACUGCGAAUACCGGAGAAUGUUAUCACGGGAGACACACGGCGGGUGCUAACGUCCGUCGUGAAGAGGGAAACAACCCAGACCGCCAGCUAAGGUCCCAAAGUCAUGGUUAAGUGGGAAACGAUGUGGGAAGGCCCAGACAGCCAGGAUGUUGGCUUAGAAGCAGCCAUCAUUUAAAGAAAGCGUAAUAGCUCACUGGUCGAGUCGGCCUGCGCGGAAGAUGUAACGGGGCUAAACCAUGCACCGAAGCUGCGGCAGCGACGCUUAUGCGUUGUUGGGUAGGGGAGCGUUCUGUAAGCCUGUGAAGGUGUGCUGUGAGGCAUGCUGGAGGUAUCAGAAGUGCGAAUGCUGACAUAAGUAACGAUAAAGCGGGUGAAAAGCCCGCUCGCCGGAAGACCAAGGGUUCCUGUCCAACGUUAAUCGGGGCAGGGUGAGUCGACCCCUAAGGCGAGGCCGAAAGGCGUAGUCGAUGGGAAACAGGUUAAUAUUCCUGUACUUGGUGUUACUGCGAAGGGGGGACGGAGAAGGCUAUGUUGGCCGGGCGACGGUUGUCCCGGUUUAAGCGUGUAGGCUGGUUUUCCAGGCAAAUCCGGAAAAUCAAGGCUGAGGCGUGAUGACGAGGCACUACGGUGCUGAAGCAACAAAUGCCCUGCUUCCAGGAAAAGCCUCUAAGCAUCAGGUAACAUCAAAUCGUACCCCAAACCGACACAGGUGGUCAGGUAGAGAAUACCAAGGCGCUUGAGAGAACUCGGGUGAAGGAACUAGGCAAAAUGGUGCCGUAACUUCGGGAGAAGGCACGCUGAUAUGUAGGUGAAGUCCCUCGCGGAUGGAGCUGAAAUCAGUCGAAGAUACCAGCUGGCUGCAACUGUUUAUUAAAAACACAGCACUGUGCAAACACGAAAGUGGACGUAUACGGUGUGACGCCUGCCCGGUGCCGGAAGGUUAAUUGAUGGGGUCAGCGCAAGCGAAGCUCUUGAUCGAAGCCCCGGUAAACGGCGGCCGUAACUAUAACGGUCCUAAGGUAGCGAAAUUCCUUGUCGGGUAAGUUCCGACCUGCACGAAUGGCGUAAUGAUGGCCAGGCUGUCUCCACCCGAGACUCAGUGAAAUUGAACUCGCUGUGAAGAUGCAGUGUACCCGCGGCAAGACGGAAAGACCCCGUGAACCUUUACUAUAGCUUGACACUGAACAUUGAGCCUUGAUGUGUAGGAUAGGUGGGAGGCUUAGAAGUGUGGACGCCAGUCUGCAUGGAGCCGACCUUGAAAUACCACCCUUUAAUGUUUGAUGUUCUAACGUUGACCCGUAAUCCGGGUUGCGGACAGUGUCUGGUGGGUAGUUUGACUGGGGCGGUCUCCUCCUAAAGAGUAACGGAGGAGCACGAAGGUUGGCUAAUCCUGGUCGGACAUCAGGAGGUUAGUGCAAUGGCAUAAGCCAGCUUGACUGCGAGCGUGACGGCGCGAGCAGGUGCGAAAGCAGGUCAUAGUGAUCCGGUGGUUCUGAAUGGAAGGGCCAUCGCUCAACGGAUAAAAGGUACUCCGGGGAUAACAGGCUGAUACCGCCCAAGAGUUCAUAUCGACGGCGGUGUUUGGCACCUCGAUGUCGGCUCAUCACAUCCUGGGGCUGAAGUAGGUCCCAAGGGUAUGGCUGUUCGCCAUUUAAAGUGGUACGCGAGCUGGGUUUAGAACGUCGUGAGACAGUUCGGUCCCUAUCUGCCGUGGGCG